CUUGAGGAUGGGCCUGCGGCGCAUUAGCUAGUUGGUGAGGUAACGGCUCACCAAGGCGACGAUGCGUAGCCGACCUGAGAGGGUGAUCGGCCACACUGGGACUGAGACACGGCCCAGACUCCUACGGGAGGCAGCAGUAGGGAAUCUUCCGCAAUGGGCGAAAGCCUGACGGAGCAAUGCCGCGUGAGUGAUGAAGGUUUUCGGAUCGUAAAGCUCUGUUGCCAGGGAAGAACGUCCUUGAGAGUAACUGCUCAAGG
Molecule: ribosomal RNA, 257 nt
Filed under: Paenibacillus illinoisensis
Lineage: Bacteria; Bacillati; Bacillota; Bacilli; Caryophanales; Paenibacillaceae
Description: partial 16S ribosomal RNA
Rfam family: Bacterial small subunit ribosomal RNA
Source: RNAcentral